GCUUUCUGGGAUAGUUCAGUCAAUAGAGCAUGAGACUCUUAAUCUCAGGGUCAUGGGUUUAAGCUCUAUGUUGGGCA
This 77-nucleotide transfer RNA is filed under the name Podarcis lilfordi (Lilford's wall lizard). Its description in RNAcentral is "tRNA.Lys". The record is from RNAcentral. Lineage: Eukaryota; Metazoa; Chordata; Lepidosauria; Squamata; Lacertidae.